CUGGCUCAGGACGAACGCUGGCGGCGUGCUUAACACAUGCAAGUCGAACGGAAAGGCCCAGCUUGCUGGGUACUCGAGUGGCGAACGGGUGAGUAACACGUGGGUGAUCUGCCUUGCACUCUGGGAUAAGCCUGGGAAACUGGGUCUAAUACCGGAUAGGACCUCUGGCUGCAUGGUUGGGGGUGGAAAGCUUUUGCGGUGUGAGAUGGGCCCGCGGCCUAUCAGCUUGUUGGUGGGGUAAUGGCCUACCAAGGCGACGACGGGUAGCCGACCUGAGAGGGUGAUCGGCCACACUGGGACUGAGACACGGCCCAGACUCCUACGGGAGGCAGCAGUGGGGAAUAUUGCACAAUGGGCGCAAGCCUGAUGCAGCGACGCCGCGUGAGGGAUGACGGCCUUCGGGUUGUAAACCUCUUUCGCCAGGGACGAAGCGUAAGUGACGGUACCUGGAGAAGAAGCACCGGCCAACUACGUGCC
This 477-nucleotide ribosomal RNA is filed under the name Gordonia sp. G9. RNAcentral describes it as "bacterial SSU rRNA". It matches the Rfam family "Bacterial small subunit ribosomal RNA", at positions 19 to 509 of the family's 1533-position model. The record is from RNAcentral. Lineage: Bacteria; Bacillati; Actinomycetota; Actinomycetes; Mycobacteriales; Gordoniaceae.